This 305-nucleotide ribosomal RNA is filed under the name uncultured bacterium. Its description in RNAcentral is "bacterial SSU rRNA". It matches the Rfam family "Bacterial small subunit ribosomal RNA", at positions 334 to 656 of the family's 1533-position model. The record is from RNAcentral.
UUGGCCUACGGGGGGCAGCAGUGGGGGAUAUUGCACAAUGGGGGGAACCCUGAUGCAGCGACGCCGCGUGGGCGAUGGAGUGCUUCGGCAUGUAAAGCCCUAUCAGCAGGGAAGAAAAUGACGGUACCUGACUAAGAAGCCCCGGCUAAAUACGUGCCAGCAGCCGCGGUAAUACGUAUGGGGCAAGCGUUAUCCGGAUUUACUGGAUGUAAAGGGAGCGUAGGCGGUAAGGCAAGUCUGAUGUGAAAGGCCAGGGCUCAACCCUGGAACUGCAUUGGAAACUGUUUAACUGGAGUGUCGGAGAG